RNAcentral lists this small RNA (2728 nucleotides) under Pongo abelii (Sumatran orangutan). Its description in RNAcentral is "retained intron". Lineage: Eukaryota; Metazoa; Chordata; Mammalia; Primates; Hominidae. The record is from RNAcentral.
GCUGGCAGACAAUGCGACCCGACCGCGCUGAGGCUCCAGGACAGCCCGCCAUGGCUGCAGGAGGUCCCGGCGCGGGGUCUGCGGCCCCGGUCUCCUCCACAUCCUCCCUUCCCCUGGCUGCUCUCAACAUGCGAGUGCGGCGCCGCCUGUCUCUGUUCUUGAACGUGCGGACACAGGUGGCGGCCGACUGGACCGCGCUGGCGGAGGAGAUGGACUUUGAGUACUUGGAGAUCCGGCAACUGGAGACACACGCCGACCCCACUGGCAGGCUGCUGGACGCCUGGCAGGGACGCCCUGGCGCCUCGGUAGGCCGAUUGCUUGAGCUGCUUACCAAGCUGGGCCGCGACGACGUGCUGCUGGAGCUGGGACCCAGCAUUGGGCAUAUGCCUGAGCGUUUUGAUGCCUUCAUCUGCUAUUGCCCCAGCGACAUCCAGUUUGUGCAGGAGAUGAUCCGGCAACUGGAACAGACAAACUAUCGACUGAAGUUGUGUGUGUCUGACCGCGAUGUCCUGCCUGGCACCUGUGUCUGGUCCAUUGCUAGUGAGCUCAUCGAAAAGAGGUUGGCUAGAAGGCCACGGGGUGGGUGCGUGGAUGCAUGAAGCCCUGCCCUGGGGUCCAGAUACUGAGCAUCUCCUCCUAGCUGUGCACUGUCCAGCCUGGGCACAGUGGCCCUUCCUGAAGCUAUUCCCAGGGAAUAUGCUGAACUAAGUUGCCACAGGACCUGCAGCCUGCCCACUCUCCCCUAGGUGCCGCCGGAUGGUGGUGGUUGUCUCUGAUGAUUACCUGCAGAGCAAGGAAUGUGACUUCCAGACCAAAUUUGCACUCAGCCUCUCUCCAGGUGCCCAUCAGAAGCGACUGAUCCCCAUCAAGUACAAGGCAAUGAAGAAAGAGUUCCCCAGCAUCCUGAGGUUCAUCACUGUCUGCGACUACACCAACCCCUGCACCAAAUCUUGGUUCUGGACUCGCCUCGCCAAGGCCUUGUCCCUGCCCUGAAGACUGUUCUGAGGCCCUGGGUGUGUGUGUAUCUGUCUGCCUGUCCAUGUACUUCUGCCCUGCCUCCUCCUUUGGUUGUAGGAGGAAUCUGUGCUCUACUUACCUCUCAAUUCCUGGAGAUGCCAACUUCACAGACACGUCUGCAGCAGCUGGACAUCACAUUUCAUGUCCUGCAUGGAACUAGUGGCUGUGAGUGGCAUGUCCACUUGCUGGAUUAUCAGCCAGGACAGUAUAGAACAGGACCAGCUGGGACUAGGAGAAGGACCAGCAGAGCCAGCUCUGCUCUGAGCCAUUCAUACAUCUUCAGCCUCAGUUUCCUCACUUGAGGAGUAGGAUGGGGAGAACAGAGAGUAGCUGUGUUUGAAUUCCUGUAGGAAAUGGUGAAGCAUAGCUCUGGGUCUCCUGGGGAGACCAGUCUUGGCUGCGGGAGAGCUGGCUGUUGCUGGACUACAUGCUGGCCACUGCUGUGACCACGACACUGCUGGGGCAGCUUCUUCCACAGUGAUGCCUACUGAUGCUUCAGUGCCUCUCUGCACACCUCCCAUUCCACUUCCUCCUUCCCCACAGGGCAGGUGGGGAAGCAGUUUGGCCCAGCCCAAGGAGAUCCCACCUUGAGCCUUAUUUCCUAAUGGGUCCACCUCUCAUCUGCAUCUUUCACACCUCCCAGCUUCUGCCCAACCUUCAGCAGUGACAAGUCCCCAAGAGACUCGCCUGAGCAGCUUGGGCUGCUUUUCAUUUCCGCCUGUCAGGAUGCCUGUGGUCAUGCUCUCAGCUCUACCUGGCAUGAGAAGGGAUCCUGGCCUCUGGCAUAUUCAUCAAGUAUGAGUUCUGGGGAUGAGUCACUGUAAUGAUGUGAGCAGCGAGCCUUCCUCCCUGGGACACCCGCAGAGAGCUUUCCCACCAACUUUGUACCUUGAUUGCCUUACAAAGUUAUUUGUUUACAAACAGCGACCAUAUAAAAGCCUCCUGCCCCAAAGCUUGUGGGCACAUGGGCAUAUACAAACUCACACACAGACACACACAUAUAUGUACAGAUGUGUACUCUCACACACACACAGGCACCUGCAUACACACGUUUUUCUAGGUAUAGCUCCCAGGAACAGCUAGGUGGGAAAGUCCCAUCACUGAGGGAGCCUAACCAUGUCCCUGAACAAAAAUUGGGCACUCUUCUAUUCCUUUUCUCUUGUGUCCCUACUCAUUGAAACCAAACUCUGGAAAGGACCCAAUGUACCAGUAUUUAUACCUCUAAUGAAGCACAGAGAGAGGAGGAGAGCUGCUUAAAUUCACACAACAAUGAACUACAGACACAGCUGUUCUCUCCCUCUCUCCUUACCAGAGCAAUUUUACCCUCAAGCUCUCCUUUGGGGAGAAGGUGCCAUGGUCUUAGGUGUCUGUGCCCCAGGGCAGACCCUAGGACCCUAAAUCCAAUAGAAAAUGCAUCUCUUUGCUCCACUUUCAGCCAUGCUGGAGCAAGGUGCCUUUUCUUAGGAUCUUGGGAGGGAAUGGAGGCCCCUCUCUGCAUGAUCUUGUUGAGGCGUUUAGCUGCCAUGCACCUGUCCCCCUUUAAUAUUGGGCAUUUUAAAGCAAUCUCGAGAAGCAUCUUCUACGUGUUUUGUAUGCAUUAAAAUAAUUUCAAAGAUAUCUGAGAAAAGCUGAUAUUUGCCAUUCUUCCUGUAUCUUGGAAUAUAUCUUGCAUCCUGAGUUUAUAAUAAUAAAGAAUAUUCUACCUUGGAAA